GUCCAGUGUGGUGACUGGGCUGAGUCAACCAGGUUCUCCCUCAGGAAUGUGAACUAAGACACACUGAAAGAAUGGAGCAGAUAACAGAAAUCUGAAGCUGAGGGAACGUUCUGGGGCAGAGGAGCAACCAUGAUGCCCCAUUCUCAGGGAAAAGUUAUGAGGCAGGAGGAAUUGGAAAAAAACAACAGAGACCCAGAAUAAAGCCCAGAGAGCAGAGAAUUGGGAAAAAAAAUGAGCUAGCUGGAAGAGAGAUACAGACACACCAAAGAGGAAGUUCUGGAGUCUCUAGCCAUAUGUCCACUUGCCUGCCAGGUGCACUGGCCAUAACCACAGCACAUUCCUGAAGGUCACUACAAGGCUGGAAAAUUGUGGGUCAGCUUCCCAGAGGCACAAUCUCCCAGACAAGCUGAGGCUUUAGGCCCGCCUGCAGUCUAUUCCUGAAGCUGCCGGCAUCCCUCACCUGGUGGUCCCAUCACUCUAAUCUCUGGUUCCAUCACCACAGUGCCUUCUCCUCCUCUGCUCUCCUGCCUCCUCUUAUAAGGAGCUUUGUGAUUACAUUGGACCCACCCCCCAGAUAAUCCAGGAUAAUCUCCUCAUCUCAAAAUCCUUAACUUAAAUCUGCAAAGCCCUUUUGCCAUGUAAGGUAACGAGUCAAUAAAUUCUAGGAAUCUACUCACCAACAUUCAGUCUAUCACAGCAGGAUAGGGGGAGGGGAGUUCAGUGAAACUUCUUCUCAGGUGUCAAGCAAAGGAUGGUGGAGCCUUUUGCUGUGUCUGGACCAGGUCUUGCCACUCUGCGUCUUGCGAAUCUGACCUGCCACAGAUUCCCACACUUCAGCUGCUGCUGCCCGCCCUGCUGUCCUUCUUACCUCUGGAAGCGGCGUCAGCCCCCCAGCUCCUCCAAGGUCAUGGGGGCCUAUGAGGCUGGAGCUGCCCAAUGGUCCAAAAAUUGGCUAGCAAUCUACCUUAGAAGCAUACUACCAAAUACCACCUUUCUCAGGCUCCACCAUCGGAGAGAUUGGAUGGAAGACCAGAGGCUGGGGGAGGAAGACGGGCCUGCUACUGUUCCUGUCUGCACUGCCCCGGGAAAAGCCUACAUCCUGGCACCAGCAGGUCAGUUCUGGUGACCUCAACCUCUCCCCUUCGUCUCCCAGCUCUAGAAGUCCCAGAUGCUUCCUGCAGUGACCAUCUUUAUGUGAAUCCUGUGUUACAUCAGUGUUCCCUUUUUGCUUUUCUGUGCUUCAACAGCUAUUUCAUCAAUUCCCUAUGGUAAAUUCUUUCUAUUAAAGUAACUCGUGUGGA
RNAcentral lists this long non-coding RNA (1301 nucleotides) under Equus caballus (horse). RNAcentral describes it as "lncRNA (ENSECAG00000056985.1)". The record is from RNAcentral. Lineage: Eukaryota; Metazoa; Chordata; Mammalia; Perissodactyla; Equidae.